This 254-nucleotide ribosomal RNA is filed under the name uncultured bacterium. RNAcentral describes it as "partial 16S ribosomal RNA". It matches the Rfam family "Bacterial small subunit ribosomal RNA", at positions 524 to 777 of the family's 1533-position model. The record is from RNAcentral.
UACGGAGGGUGCAAGCGUUAUCCGGAUUUACUGGGUUUAAAGGGUGUGUAGGCGGACUUUUAAGUCCGUGGUGAAAUCUCCGGGCUCAACCCGGAAACUGCCAUGGAUACUAUUGGUCUUGAAUAUUGUUGAGGUGGGCGGAACGGGUCAUGUAGCGGUGAAAUGCAUAGAUAUGACCCGGAACACCGAUUGCGAAGGCAGCCCACUAAGCAAUGAUUGACGCUGAGGCACGAAAGCGUGGGGAUCAAACAGGG